GUCACUUCUCUGUGAUAUACCUAAGAGAAAAAAAUGUUAUCUGUUCUUACCAGUUUAAUAUCUGAUAUGUCCUCUAUCCAAGGAUAGUAUAUUAAAUAGAUUCUUUGGAAACAGGAGGUGGAGUAGGAACUUGCUUUGUCUGCUCCAUGAAUCAACCUGCUCUUGCAGUACCUCCAGGAACAGAGCACCCUCC
Molecule: small nuclear RNA, 193 nt
Organism: Peromyscus eremicus (cactus mouse)
Lineage: Eukaryota; Metazoa; Chordata; Mammalia; Rodentia; Cricetidae
Product: U2 spliceosomal RNA
Exons: 1
Source: RefSeq, a predicted model, not a curated record